RNAcentral lists this ribosomal RNA (192 nucleotides) under uncultured Haemophilus sp. RNAcentral's name for it is "partial 16S ribosomal RNA". It matches the Rfam family "Bacterial small subunit ribosomal RNA", at positions 340 to 524 of the family's 1533-position model. Lineage: Bacteria; Pseudomonadati; Pseudomonadota; Gammaproteobacteria; Pasteurellales; Pasteurellaceae. The record is from RNAcentral.
UACGGGAGGCAGCAGUGGGGAAUAUUGCACAAUGGGGGGAACCCUGAUGCAGCCAUGCCGCGUGAAUGAAGAAGGCCUUCGGGUUGUAAAGUUCUUUCGGUAACGAGGAAGGUUGAUAGGUUAAUAGCCUAUCAAAUUGACGUUAAUCACAGAAGAAGCACCGGCUAACUCCGUGCCAGCAGCCGCGGUAAU